RNAcentral lists this unclassified non-coding RNA (400 nucleotides) under soil metagenome. RNAcentral's name for it is "partial contains 5.8S ribosomal RNA, internal transcribed spacer 2, and large subunit ribosomal RNA". The stretch from base 1 to 122 matches the Rfam family "5.8S ribosomal RNA", at positions 35 to 154 of the family's 154-position model. The record is from RNAcentral.
GAUGAAGAACGUAGCGAAAUACGAUACUUGGUGUGAAUUGCAGAAUCCCGUGAACCAUCGAGUCUUUGAACGCAAGUUGCGCCUCAAGCCAUUAGGUUGAGGGCACGUCUGCCUGGGCGUCACAUAUCGUUGCCUGAUGCCAGUUUCCUCGUGAUGGGUGACUGUGCAGGGCGAAUGAUGGCUUCCCGUGAGCAUUGUUGCCUCAUGGUUGGUUGAAAAUUGAGUCCUUGGUAGGGAGCGCCGUGAUAGAUGGUGGUUGAGUGACGAACGAGACCCAAUCAUGUGAGACCCCUACCGAAUUUGGCCUUCAUGACCCACAUGCGUCUUUGGAACGCUCAUGACGAGACCUCAGGUCAGGCGGGGCUACCCGCUGAGUUUAAGCAUAUCAAUAAGCGGAGGA